AUUGAACGCUGGCGGCAGGCUUAACACAUGCAAGUCGAGCGGGGGAAGGUAGCUUGCUACCGGACCUAGCGGCGGACGGGUGAGUAAUGCAUAGGAAUCUGCCUAUUAGUGGGGGACAACAUCUCGAAAGGGAUGCUAAUACCGCAUACGUCCUACGGGAGAAAGCAGGGGAUCUUCGGACCUUGCGCUAAUAGAUGAGCCUAAGUCGGAUUAGCUAGUUGGUGGGGUAAAGGCCUACCAAGGCGACGAUCUGUAGCGGGUCUGAGAGGAUGAUCCGCCACACUGGGACUGAGACACGGCCCAGACUCCUACGGGAGGCAGCAGUGGGGAAUAUUGGACAAUGGGGGGAACCCUGAUCCAGCCAUGCCGCGUGUGUGAAGAAGGCCUUAUGGUUGUAAAGCACUUUAAGUGAGGAGGAGGCUACUCUAGUUAAUACGUAGGGAUAGUGGACGUUACUCGCAGAAUAAGCACCGGCUAACUCUGUGCCAGCCGCCGCAGUAA
This 501-nucleotide ribosomal RNA is filed under the name uncultured bacterium. Its description in RNAcentral is "partial 16S ribosomal RNA". It matches the Rfam family "Bacterial small subunit ribosomal RNA", at positions 30 to 523 of the family's 1533-position model. The record is from RNAcentral.